Molecule: small nuclear RNA, 89 nt
Filed under: Prolemur simus (greater bamboo lemur)
Lineage: Eukaryota; Metazoa; Chordata; Mammalia; Primates; Lemuridae
Source: RNAcentral
GUGCUCUCUUCGGCAGCACAUAUACUAAAAUUGGAUCAAUACAGAGAAGAUUAGCAUGGUCCCUGCGUAAGGAUGACAAGAAAUAAAAA